AAUGCUAACAAUUUCAACUUCAUCAAAUUGCUUUGCCAAAGACAUGAAACCAGUGUCACACAAAGGAGAUAGAUGUCAAGACACGGACCCUAACAGUGCGCACUGUAGCUUCCGGGUGCCUCCAGAUGGAAACUGUGGACUUGAAGCUGGGAAGACAUGUCACUGGCAUCCUCUGCAGACAUCUGGACAGCUGGGAUGCACAAACAUGACAGAGGACCUUACCCAGCUUGGAGACAACCACACCAGGAUGACCAGGUGUGGUUCCACACCCCAAAAGCUACAGCCACCCCAGGUCUCAUCAUGACCGACACCCCGCCUCCCUCCCUGAGUUUCUCCACGUCUUCACUGCACCAGGACAUCUCAUCCACACCACCCCUACUAAAUCGUCUAGCUUCUCUCAAAUGCCACCAGUGGCGGCGACGCAGGAAAGACCCAGGAAGGCCUUUUUAUCUUCAAAUUAUUCUCCAAUUAUCAUUCAAAUUAUUUCCUUGGGAGAAAUUGCCAAGACUGGAAUUCGGGGGUAAAGGAGGUGGCAUAUCUCAUUGACUUACUGCUCCCACACAUUUGAAGAUGAGCACUUAUACCCACUUGCUCCCCACUCUGCUCCAACAUAAAGAUUUCUAAGGGUUUACCGGAAGAGUUUCAA
Onychomys torridus (southern grasshopper mouse) is the source of this 646-nucleotide long non-coding RNA. RefSeq lists it as uncharacterized. NCBI's taxonomy places the organism in Eukaryota, Metazoa, Chordata, Mammalia, Rodentia, Cricetidae. The record is from RefSeq and is a predicted model, not a curated record. The transcript is spliced from 3 exons.